UUGAAAGGGAAACGAUUGAAGUCAGUCGUAUCGACGAGAAAUCAACUUAUCGUGUGCGAACUUGUGGGCGUGCGUGAGUUUCGGCCUCGCUGUUUGCUUGUUUGUGCGCUUUCGGUGUACUUUUUCGUAUGGUAGGCCAACGUCAGUUUCGAUCAUCAUAAAAUGACCGGCGGAAUGUAGCUUCGACCUCGGUUGAAGUGUUAUAGCCUCUGGUAGAUGUGAUGAUCGGGACUGAGGAUUGCAACGAAUACCCUUUGGGCUAUCCGUCUGACCUCUGAAAGUUGCUCAGGUGCCGAAAGCUUGCUUACGGUCAUCUAAGUUGACGGUCAAUAGGUUAGAACGUGAUUACAUUCGUUAAGGAUGUUGACGUA
Molecule: ribosomal RNA, 371 nt
Filed under: uncultured Glomeromycotina
Lineage: Eukaryota; Fungi; Glomeromycota
Description: LSU rRNA
Source: RNAcentral